RNAcentral lists this transfer RNA (80 nucleotides) under Bos taurus (domestic cattle). It matches the Rfam family "tRNA". Rfam says of the family: Transfer RNA (tRNA) molecules are approximately 80 nucleotides in length. Lineage: Eukaryota; Metazoa; Chordata; Mammalia; Artiodactyla; Bovidae. RNAcentral also lists the same sequence under 2 other names. The record is from Rfam by way of RNAcentral.
UCCCUGGUAGCUCAGUGGUAAAGAAUCUGCCUGCAAUGCAGGAGACGCAGGAGACUCGGGUUUGAUCCCUGGGUAGGGAA